Helianthus annuus (common sunflower) is the source of this 1876-nucleotide long non-coding RNA. RefSeq lists it as uncharacterized. The record is from RefSeq and is a predicted model, not a curated record. The transcript is spliced from 3 exons. NCBI's taxonomy places the organism in Eukaryota, Viridiplantae, Streptophyta, Magnoliopsida, Asterales, Asteraceae.
CACCUGUCAUCCUCUUACUCCAUCUUUAGAAAAUUUGAGCGCUAAAAACACACUAGCCUAUGUCUUCGCUCUUUUCCUUCACACUUUCAUACGUUUCAUAUCACAAACCCUAAUGACGUCUCCCUCUCAAGCAUCCAUGGCCGCCUUCGUAUCUACAACAUCUGUAGCCAUCUUCUUUAUACCUGCGACCACCACAAGCCCUCUGUCUUUUCAUCUCACAAUCUGGUUGUAAAAACCCUAAGAGGGGCCUGUGUUUAUCAAUCUCUCUUUAGAACCUUCCAUCCAUUGCGUCUCCUUCUCAAGCAAAUCUCUUACUUCAGAAGAAACAACUCAGACGUCUCUAUUUCUUUCAAUUCUAGGGUUCUAAACUCAAUUUACUUUCAUCCGAUUAUGAUUAGUGCUUUUUAGGGUUUAUAAUCCUAGGUGAUCAUCGAUUAAACCAUUACUCUGAAACCCUAAGCUCCUGACCGUUUCAAUCGAUCAUGUGCUAAGAGGUACAAACAAUCUUGAAUAAUCAAUAGUGAUCAUCGACGGUAUUGAUUCUGAUAUCUUCUUCUUUUAUGAUUGAUUGAAUGAAACAUCGAUGGUUUUGUUAUGUAUUGAUUGAGUGAAUGAAUGUUAUUUGAAUAUCAAUUUUAGAUUCUCUGUUUGUUAUUGUUUUUUGACACACGAUUUCGUUUUGUUAGGGUUUUAAAAGCUGAUUUGGUUUAUGGUUGAUGAUUAAUGUAUUCUCUGAUUUACCUUUGUUUUGGUACUGAUUUUGGAUAUAUAUUCGGCUUCAUCCGAUUUUGGUUUAUGGUUGAAUGUUGUUUAGGGUUUAUAAAUCCACGGUCAGAUUAUGAACAUAAUUUUUUUCUAUUCCGAUUUUGGUUAAUGAUUCAAUUUUAUUUAGGGUUUAUAAUCCUAGGUGAUAGUGCGGGGUUUCUUUUAUGUUUCCUUUUUGUUUGUAAUGUGCAGGGUUUCUUGGUUCAACCCUCUUUUAUAUACGAUAUAGGAUUUUUUUUGUUUCAUUAUUAUUUGAUGCGUUAUACUUUUUUCAUAGGUUUAUCAUCUUUUGUUAAGUGCUUUUGUGUUGAGAACCUGUUUCCCUUCUUAUUUACCUAAGGUUACCGGUGCUUUAUCUGGAUUGGAUUAAUUUUGACAAUACCUUAGUUAAGCCACCCUUUUAAUUUCAUGACAUAUCGUUUUUUUUUUUGGAUUUGUGAGGUAAAUAAAUCAACGAAGAUGUGGGUGGUGCCGCCGCCACUGCUAUACACUAGGUUGUUGAUGGGGUGAUAUUGAAUGUGCAUAAUUUCUUUUGAGCAAUAAUGCUAACGUGAAAAGGAAAAGCAUAUGGAGUCUACUCUCAUGAGUCCUAACCCAAUCCUCAACAAAAGCUGAGGAGCUUAUAGAACUGGGGAUCCGGAGCCGAAUCGGCCAAUCAGGUUGGCUGGGGUUUGAUGGUUCAGAUCCAUCUACCACUAUAAAACAUGCAGGUCUUGGAAUUAGAGUUUAGACGAUGAUGAGACAUCUUGCAAUUGUUGGUGAAGUUUAUGCCCAAACCGCUCUUGAAGAGUUUCAUGGAACAUCUGGCCUAUAAGUCCAUUUUUAGCUAGCGCGCCUACAUCAAACGACCCUUCUACCAGUGGUAUUAGACAUCAUGGGCAUGCUGGUGUUUCAGUCGUUGCGUGUACCCUACAUGUAGCAGCUUUAGAUUAGGAGAUUUGUAACAAUAUUUGAAGCUUUUGUUUAAUUUGAUGACCGAUUUUCUUUAAAUUGUUUUGACCCAUGUUAUAAUAGCAUCUCAUUUGUUCAAAUAUAUUUAUUUAAGAGACUUUUUGAAUAAUAACACUUCAGGUGAGACUAUUGGUCUCCGGAUGCAGCCAUCAAGUUAUUC